Molecule: ribosomal RNA, 273 nt
Filed under: uncultured bacterium
Lineage: Bacteria
Description: partial 16S ribosomal RNA
Rfam family: Bacterial small subunit ribosomal RNA
Source: RNAcentral
UACGAAGGGGGCUAGCGUUGUUCGGAAUUACUGGGCGUAAAGCGCGCGCAGGCGGUCCUUUAAGUCAGGGGUGAAAGCCCAGAGCUCAACUCUGGAACGGCCUUUGAAACUAGAGGACUUGGGUACGGGAGAGGUGAGUGGAAUUCCGAGUGUAGAGGUGAAAUUCGUAGAUAUUCGGAAGAACACCAGUGGCGAAGGCGGCUCACUGGUCCGGUACUGACGCUGAGGUGCGAAAGCGUGGGGAGCAAACAGGGAUUAAGAAACCCCGGGUGA